GACGAACGCUGGCGGCGUGCCUAAUACAUGCAAGUCGAACGAGAGCGACCGGUGCUUGCACUGGUCAAUCUAGUGGCGAACGGGUGAGUAACACGUGGGUAACCUGCCCAUCAGAGGGGGAUAACAUUCGGAAACGGAUGCUAAAACCGCAUAGGUUCUUGAGUCGCAUGACUGAAGAAGGAAAAGAGGCUUCGGCUUCUGCUGAUGGAUGGACCCGCGGUGCAUUAGCUAGUUGGUGAGGUAACGGCUCACCAAGGCCGUGAUGCAUAGCCGACCUGAGAGGGUGAUCGGCCACAUUGGGACUGAGACACGGCCCAAACUCCUACGGGAGGCAGCAGUAGGGAAUCUUCCGCAAUGGACGCAAGUCUGACGGAGCAACGCCGCGUGAGUGAAGAAGGAUUUCGGUUCGUAAAACUCUGUUGUUAGAGAAGAACAGCGCAUAGAGUAACUGUUAUGCGUGUGACG
This 465-nucleotide ribosomal RNA is filed under the name Granulicatella elegans. RNAcentral describes it as "bacterial SSU rRNA". It matches the Rfam family "Bacterial small subunit ribosomal RNA", at positions 28 to 474 of the family's 1533-position model. Lineage: Bacteria; Bacillati; Bacillota; Bacilli; Lactobacillales; Carnobacteriaceae. The record is from RNAcentral.